RNAcentral lists this ribosomal RNA (840 nucleotides) under uncultured bacterium. Its description in RNAcentral is "bacterial SSU rRNA". It matches the Rfam family "Bacterial small subunit ribosomal RNA", at positions 8 to 864 of the family's 1533-position model. The record is from RNAcentral.
AGAGUUUGAUCAUGGCUCAGGACGAACGCUGGCGGCGUGCCUAACACAUGCAAGUCGAGCGGAGAAGGGCAUUUAUGUUCUUUUCAGCGGCGGACGGGUGAGUAACACGUGGGUAACCUGCCUCGAAAUGGGGGAUAGCCUUCCGAAAGGGAGAUUAAUACCGCAUAACCUCGGAUCUCCGCAUGGAGGACCGAGAAAAGGAGAAAUCCGUUUCGAGAUGGACCCGCGGCGCAUUAGCUAGUUGGUGAGGUAACGGCCCACCAAGGCGACGAUGCGUAGCCGACCUGAGAGGGUGAUCGGCCACAUUGGAACUGAGACACGGUCCAGACUCCUACGGGAGGCAGCAGUGGGGAAUAUUGCACAAUGGGCGAAAGCCUGAUGCAGCAACGCCGCGUGAGUGAUGAAGGCCUUCGGGUCGUAAAGCUCUUUGAUCAGGGACGAUAAUGACGGUACCUGAAAAACAAGCCACGGCUAACUACGUGCCAGCAGCCGCGGUAAUACGUAGGUGGCAAGCGUUGUCCGGAUUUACUGGGCGUAAAGAAUGCGUAGGUGGAUAUUUAAGUGGGAUGUGAAAUCCCCGGGCUCAACCCGGGAACUGCAUUCCAAACUGGAUAUCUGGAGUGCAGGAGAGGAAAGUGGAAUUCCUAGUGUAGCGGUGAAAUGCGUAGAUAUUAGGAGGAACACCAGUGGCGAAGGCGACUUUCUGGACUGUAACUGACACUGAGGCAUGAAAGCGUGGGGAGCAAACAGGAUUAGAUACCCUGGUAGUCCACGCCGUAAACUAUGGGUACUAGGUGUAGGGGGUAUCGACUCCCCCUGUGCCGUCGUUAACACAAUAAG